RNAcentral lists this ribosomal RNA (253 nucleotides) under uncultured bacterium. RNAcentral describes it as "partial 16S ribosomal RNA". It matches the Rfam family "Bacterial small subunit ribosomal RNA", at positions 524 to 776 of the family's 1533-position model. The record is from RNAcentral.
UACGUAGGGGGCUAGCGUUGUCCGGAAUCAUUGGGCGUAAAGCGCGUGUAGGCGGUCCGGUAAGUCCGCUGUGAAAGUCGGGGGCUCAACCCUCGAAUGCCGGUGGAUACUGUCGGGCUAGAGUGCGGAAGAGGCGAGUGGAAUUCCCGGUGUAGCGGUGAAAUGCGCAGAUAUCGGGAGGAACACCUAUGGCGAAGGCAGCUCGCUGGGACGUUACUGACGCUGAGACGCGAAAGCGUGGGGAGCAAACAGG